Molecule: ribosomal RNA, 799 nt
Filed under: Pseudoneoconiothyrium rosae
Lineage: Eukaryota; Fungi; Ascomycota; Dothideomycetes; Pleosporales; Thyridariaceae
Description: partial large subunit ribosomal RNA
Rfam family: Eukaryotic large subunit ribosomal RNA
Source: RNAcentral
AGCGGCAACAGCUCAAAUUUGAAAUCUGGCCCUUUCAGGGUCCGAGUUGUAAUUUGUAGAGGGUGCUUUGGUGUUGGCCGUGGUCUAAGUUCCUUGGAACAGGACGUCACAGAGGGUGAGAAUCCCGUACGUGGCCGCCGGUCUUCACCGUGUAAAGCCCCUUCGACGAGUCGAGUUGUUUGGGAAUGCAGCUCUAAAUGGGAGAUAAAUUUCUUCUAAAGCUAAAUAUUGGCCAGAGACCGAUAGCGCACAAGUAGAGUGAUCGAAAGAUGAAAAGCACUUUGGAAAGAGAGUCAAAAAGCACGUGAAAUUGUUGAAAGGGAAGCGCUUGCAGCCAGACGUGCCCGCAGUUGCUCACCUGGGCUUUUGCCCGGGGCAUUCUUCUGCGGGCAGGCCAGCAUCAGUUCGGGCGGUUGGAUAAAGGCCUCUAUCACGUACCAUCCUUCGGGAUGUCCUUAUAGGGGAGGCGCAACACGACCAGCCUGAACUGAGGACCGCGCAUUUGCUAGGAUGCUGGCGUAAUGGCUGUAAGCGGCCCGUCUUGAAACACGGACCAAGGAGUCUAACAUCUAUGCGAGUGUUUGGGUGUAAAGCCCGGACGCGCAAUGAAAGUGAACGGAGGUGGGAACCCCUCGGGGUGCACCAUCGACCGAUCCUGAAGUCUUCGGAUGGAUUUGAGUAAGAGCAUAGCUGUUGGGACCCGAAAGAUGGUGAACUAUGCCUGAAUAGGGUGAAGCCAGGGGAAACCCUGGUGGAGGCUCGCAGCGGUUCUGACGUGCAAAUCGAUCGUCAAAUUUGG